Molecule: ribosomal RNA, 249 nt
Filed under: uncultured bacterium
Lineage: Bacteria
Description: partial 16S ribosomal RNA
Rfam family: Bacterial small subunit ribosomal RNA
Source: RNAcentral
CAUGCCGUAAACGAUGAGUGCUAAGUUUUCGGGGGUUUCCGCCCCUUAGUGCUGCAGCUAACGCAUUAAGCACUCCGCCUGGGGAGUACGACCGCAAGGUUGAAACUCAAAGGAAUUGACGGGGGCCCGCACAAGCGGUGGAGCAUGUGGUUUAAUUCGAAGCAACGCGAAGAACCUUACCAGGUCUUGACAUCCCGAUGAGCGCUCUAGAGAUAGAGUUUUCCCUUCGGGGACAUUGGUGACAGGUGG